AUGUUCACCUUAGCAAUACAUACACUAAAAUGGGAAUGAUACAGAGAAGAAGAGUAUGGUCCCUAAGCAGGACGACGGGCAAAUCUGUGAAGUGUUCCAUAUUUUC
This 106-nucleotide small nuclear RNA is filed under the name Vulpes vulpes (red fox). Lineage: Eukaryota; Metazoa; Chordata; Mammalia; Carnivora; Canidae. The record is from RNAcentral.